GUAGGUGGCAAGCGUUGUCCGGAAUUAUUGGGCGUAAAGCGCGCGCAGGCGGUCCUUUAAGUCUGAUGUGAAAGCCCACGGGCUCAACCGUGGAGGGUCAUUGGAAACUGGGGGACUUGAGUACAGAAGAGGAAAGCGGAAUUCCACGUGUAGCGGUGAAAUGCGUAGAGAUGUGGAGGAACACCAGUGGCGAAGGCGGCUUUCUGGUCUGUAACUGACGCUGAGGCGCGAAAGCGUGGGGAGCAAACAGGAUUAGAUACCCUGGUAGUCCACGCCGUAAACGAUGAGUGCUAAGUGUUAGGGGGGUUUCCGCCCCUUAGUGCUGCAGCUAACGCAUUAAGCACUCCGCCUGGGGAGUACGGCCGCAAAGGCUG
Molecule: ribosomal RNA, 374 nt
Filed under: uncultured organism
Description: partial 16S ribosomal RNA
Rfam family: Bacterial small subunit ribosomal RNA
Source: RNAcentral